Molecule: ribosomal RNA, 253 nt
Filed under: uncultured bacterium
Lineage: Bacteria
Description: partial 16S ribosomal RNA
Rfam family: Bacterial small subunit ribosomal RNA
Source: RNAcentral
UACGUAGGGGGCAAGCGUUAUCCGGAUUUACUGUGUGUAAAGGGGGCGCAGACGGCGAUGCAAGCCAGGAGUGAAAGCCCGGGGCCCAACCCCGGGACUGCUCUUGGAACUGCGUGGCUGGAGUGCAGGAGGGGCAGGCGGAAUUCCUGGUGUAGCGGUGAAAUGCGUAGAUAUCAGGAGGAACACCGGUGGCGAAGGCGGCCUGCUGGACUGCAACUGACGUUGAGGCCCGAAAGCGUGGGGAGCAAACAGG